GCCUGGGUGGCUCAGUUGGUUGAGCAUCUGACUUCAGAUCAGGUCAUGAUCUUGCAGUUUGCAGGUUUGAGCCUUGCAUUGGACU
RNAcentral lists this transfer RNA (85 nucleotides) under Felis catus (domestic cat). It matches the Rfam family "tRNA". Rfam says of the family: Transfer RNA (tRNA) molecules are approximately 80 nucleotides in length. Their secondary structure includes four short double-helical elements and three loops (D, anti-codon, and T loops). Lineage: Eukaryota; Metazoa; Chordata; Mammalia; Carnivora; Felidae. The record is from Rfam by way of RNAcentral.